Molecule: long non-coding RNA, 784 nt
Organism: Pezoporus flaviventris
Lineage: Eukaryota; Metazoa; Chordata; Aves; Psittaciformes; Psittacidae
Exons: 2
Source: RefSeq, a predicted model, not a curated record
GGCUUUGGGGAGCUCCGGAGCCACACACCGAGACAGUGAAUCUGUGAAGUCUGCAGAGGGUGAGCUCAGGAGGGCGCAGGACGAGUAACGCUGUAAGCAGGAAAUCUGACAAAACACCAUUCACGAGACCCUACCAGGGGAUGCCAGGGAUGGUGUCUGUCCUGCCAGCUCCAGGCAUGGGUGUCUGCAGCUCAGGAGAGAGCCAGGAAAUGCUGCUGAAGUAGCACCUUUGUCUUCAGUAGCUUUUUGCCAUGACACGGGCAUCUGCAGCCCUGCAGCAUCAUACAGAUGUGGAGAGGGACAGACAGUGCUUAACACUUCUUUUCCAGUUUCUGUAGCAAUUACAGCAUUACAUUGUCAAACCUGCAUAUUAAGCUAGAUUAAAAGUAUCCCUUAAUUUCCGUUUGUGAUUCUUAAGAUCUCUUUUUUUCCUGGUAGUACCUAGUGCUAUGUAUCAUUCUGUAUGUUCAAAGCAGUUUCUGCUUCCUGGGCUACAGCUGUUUGAGUGUGUCUCCAAAUCAAAUUGUAGGUUGUCAAGUCACCACCCAAAAUGAUGGGUAUGAAAUUAAAGAUUAACACAAUAAGAACUCCUCUGCUGGAAUUCUCUAGCAGAAGCAGAACAGACCCCAUUCCUCCCGGACAACAUUCUGCUGUUUUAAUUGUGAAGCAGUCCUGUUUCUUCAUGCAGUCGCCUGUGUCAUUCACUGUUCAUUUUCCAGUUUCAGCAGCAAUGGGAACAAGGGUCUGGCAGACAACAGACACUUUUGGUUCAGAAACUGAUUCA